CGGACGGGUGAGUAAUGUCUGGGAAACUGCCCGAUGGAGGGGGGUAACUACUGGAAACGGUAGCUAAUACCGCAUAACGUCGCAAGACCAAAGAGGGGGACCUUCGGGCCUCUUGCCAUCGGAUGUGCCCAGAUGGGAUUAGCUAGUAGGUGGGGUAACGGCUCACCUAGGCGACGAUCCCUAGCUGGCCUGAGAGGAUGACCAGCCACACUGGAACUGAGACACGGUCCAG
Molecule: ribosomal RNA, 232 nt
Filed under: uncultured bacterium
Lineage: Bacteria
Description: partial 16S ribosomal RNA
Rfam family: Bacterial small subunit ribosomal RNA
Source: RNAcentral